GCCAAAUCCUUCAUCACCAUCAGACCGGGAACCGUCACUUCCUGUCGACAGAUCCGUUCAAACUCUUUCCUGAGGAACGCACACACAGAAGAACACACAGAUCACAUUCAGCACCUCACAACACAUCUACAGUUGUCAGAGUUUCUGAUAGUCACCUGAACCUGUCGAUGUCCUCUUCAGACACCAGAUUCUUGAUGAGGAUGAAGCCAUUUUCCUCAUAGGAGAGUCGCUGUUCUGGGGUCAGCAGGUCAGUAUCAAAAGUGUAUCUACCAAAAAAAUUUUUUUUUAAAAAUACACAACAAUAUCACCAUUUUUUAUUUACUUUAAUGUUUAGUUUGAAGUAAAGGGUACUGUAGAGGGAAAUGAAU
This is a long non-coding RNA of Micropterus salmoides (largemouth bass), 368 nucleotides long. RefSeq lists it as uncharacterized. NCBI's taxonomy places the organism in Eukaryota, Metazoa, Chordata, Actinopteri, Centrarchiformes, Centrarchidae. The transcript has 2 exons. The record is from RefSeq and is a predicted model, not a curated record.